This 497-nucleotide ribosomal RNA is filed under the name uncultured bacterium. Its description in RNAcentral is "partial 16S ribosomal RNA". It matches the Rfam family "Bacterial small subunit ribosomal RNA", at positions 28 to 507 of the family's 1533-position model. The record is from RNAcentral.
GACGAACGCUGGCGGCGUGCCUAAUAUAUGCAAGUAGAACGCUGAAGAGAGGAGCUUGCUCUUCUUGGAUGAGUUGCGAACGGGUGAGUAACGCGUAGGUAACCUGCCUGGUAGCGGGGGAUAACUAUUGGAAACGAUAGCUAAUACCGCAUAAAAUUGAUUAUUGCAUGAUAAUUAAUUGAAAGAUGCAACUGCAUCACUACCAGAUGGACCUGCGUUGUAUUAGCUAGUUGGUGAGGUAACGGCUCACCAAGGCGACGAUACAUAGCCGACCUGAGGGGGUGAUCGGCCACACUGGGACUGAGACACGGCCCAGACUCCUACGGGAGGCAGCAGUAGGGAAUCUUCGGCAAUGGGGGGAACCCUGACCGAGCAACGCCGCGUGAGUGAAGAAGGUUUUCGGAUCGUAAAGCUCUGUUGUAAGAGAAGAACGGGUGUGAGAGUGGAAAGUUCACACUGUGACGGUAUCUUACCAGAAAGAGACGGCUAACUACGUG